Molecule: transfer RNA, 70 nt
Filed under: Ictidomys tridecemlineatus (thirteen-lined ground squirrel)
Lineage: Eukaryota; Metazoa; Chordata; Mammalia; Rodentia; Sciuridae
Description: Spermophilus tridecemlineatus (thirteen-lined ground squirrel) tRNA
Rfam family: tRNA
About the family: Transfer RNA (tRNA) molecules are approximately 80 nucleotides in length.
Source: Rfam by way of RNAcentral
GGGGUUGUGGCUCAGUGGUGGAGCACUUGCCUAGCAUGCAUGAGGCACUGGGUUCAAUCCCCAGCACCUA